GGUUAAGCGACUAAGCGUACACGGUGGAUGCCCUGGCAGUCAGAGGCGAUGAAGGACGUGCUAAUCUGCGAAAAGCGACGGCGAGGUGAUAUGAACCUUUGACCCGUCGAUGUCCGAAUGGGGAAACCCAGUGUGUUCCGACACACUAUCGUUAACUGAAUACAUAGGUUAACGAGGCGAACCGGGGGAACUGAAACAUCUAAGUACCCCGAGGAAAAGAAAUCAACCGAGAUUCCCCCAGUAGCGGCGAGCGAACGGGGAGCAGCCCGGAGUCUGAAUCAGCUUGUGUGUUAGUGGAACGGUCUGGAAAGUCCGACGGUACAGGGUGAUAGUCCCGUACACGAAAAUGCACAGGUUGUGAACUCGAAGAGUAGGGCGGGACACGUGGUAUCCUGUCUGAAUAUGGGGGGACCAUCCUCCAAGGCUAAAUACU
Molecule: ribosomal RNA, 433 nt
Filed under: Enterobacter hormaechei
Lineage: Bacteria; Pseudomonadati; Pseudomonadota; Gammaproteobacteria; Enterobacterales; Enterobacteriaceae
Description: partial 23S ribosomal RNA
Rfam family: Bacterial large subunit ribosomal RNA
Source: RNAcentral